This 806-nucleotide ribosomal RNA is filed under the name Bettsia alvei. RNAcentral describes it as "eukaryotic LSU rRNA". It matches the Rfam family "Eukaryotic large subunit ribosomal RNA", at positions 85 to 912 of the family's 3401-position model. Lineage: Eukaryota; Fungi; Ascomycota; Leotiomycetes. The record is from RNAcentral.
AACGGCGAGUGAAGCGGCAACAGCUCAAAUUUGAAAUCUGGCCUCACGGUCCGAGUUGUAAUUUGUAGAGGAUGUUUCGAGCAUGGUCCGGCCUAAGUGUCUUGGAACAGGACGUCAUAGAGGGUGAGAACCCCGUAUGCGGUCGGGUGCCUACGCUCAUGUGAAACUCCUUCGACGAGUCGAGUUGUUUGGGAAUGCAGCUCAAAAUGGGUGGUAAAUUUCAUCUAAAGCUAAAUAUUGGCCAGAGACCGAUAGCGCACAAGUAGAGUGAUCGAAAGAUGAAAAGCACUUUGGAAAGAGAGUUAAACAGUACGUGAAAUUGUUGAAAGGGAAGCGCUUGCAACCAGACUUGGGCGCGGCCGAUCAUCCGGUGUUCUCACCGGUGCACUCGGUCGCGUGCAGGCCAGCAUCGGUUCUGGUGGCUGGAUAAAGGCCCUAGGAAUGUGGCUCCUCUCGGGGAGUGUUAUAGCCUAGGGUGCAAUGCAGCCUACCGGGACCGAGGACCGCGCUUCGGCUAGGAUGCUGGCGUAAUGGUUGUAAGUGACCCGUCUUGAAACACGGACCAAGGAGUCUAACAUCUAUGCGAGUGUUUGGGUGUCAAACCCAUACGCGUAAUGAAAGUGAACGGAGGUGAGAACCCUUAAGGGUGCAUCAUCGACCGAUCCUGAUGUCUUCGGAUGGAUUUGAGUAUGAGCAUAGCUGUUGGGACCCGAAAGAUGGUGAACUAUGCCUGACUAGGGUGAAGCCAGAGGAAACUCUGGUGGAGGCUCGCAGCGGUUCUGACGUGCAAAUCGAUCGUCAAAUUU